GUGUUGCUUUGGCAGCGCAUAUACUAAAAGCGGAAUGAUACAGAGAAGAUUAGCAUGGCUCCUGUGCAAGGAUGACAUGCAAAUUCAUGAAGCAUUCCAUAUAUCU
RNAcentral lists this small nuclear RNA (106 nucleotides) under Choloepus hoffmanni (Hoffmann's two-fingered sloth). The record is from RNAcentral. Lineage: Eukaryota; Metazoa; Chordata; Mammalia; Pilosa; Megalonychidae.